UUGAACUAGUCGCUCGAGACGUUCAACCCCGAGGGCAGUUUGGUGGAUGCGGCGGACGGCUCGCGGGUAACCAUCUACAACUCCGAGUAUAUCGAUUGCAUCAACGUUCUCAACGGCUGCACCGACAUCCCGAGUGAAUUGACGCGUAAUCAAACUUAAUCGGCGUGAACUCGUUCCGCAAGACGCGAAGGGCCGGCAACCAGAACCAGCUGGUGAUGUCAGGGACGUCUUUGCCGAUCGAAGACGGACUGGCCGACGCUGAGCAGUGUAAUUUUCGGCAAGCAGCGGCCGCCGCUGGCCAUCUGGUUACAUUCGACUCGAACCGUCAGAUCUCGGACAUGCUUCACCUGCGACCUGCAAAGUCACUCGAGAGGAUGGUUCGGCGGAGGCGGUGGACGGCUCGCGGGAAACCAUCUACAACUACGAGAGGGUUGAGUGAGUCGUUGAGGUAAUCCACGCGAGCUUGCACAAGUGAUCGGCAAAGAAUUGCCGCUGCCGAGCCAGUGGAAUCGGAUACACUGCUGAUACAACCAGAAACGCCAUGUUACCAGCUCAGAAAGACACCAGCUCGGAGCAGCAGCCGCGCAUUCAGUGAAAACUUGAAGCAGCAUUUGAAAGUGUAAUUGUAGUCGUGUUCAGGUUCAGGCUUCGCUUAAAAAUUACCAAAUCUAAAAUAAAAUUUAUUUAAUUAAAUAA
This is a long non-coding RNA of Culex pipiens pallens (northern house mosquito), 696 nucleotides long. RefSeq lists it as uncharacterized. The record is from RefSeq and is a predicted model, not a curated record. The transcript has 2 exons. Lineage: Eukaryota; Metazoa; Arthropoda; Insecta; Diptera; Culicidae.